UCAGGAAGAAAGCUUGCUUUCUUUGCUGGCGACCGGCGCACGGGUGAGUAACACGUAUCCAACCUGCCCUUUACUCGGGGAUAGCCUUUCGAAAGAAAGAUUAAUACCCGAUAGCAUAAUGAUUCCGCAUGGUCUCAUUAUUAAAGGAUUCCGGUAAAGGAUGGGGAUGCGUUCCAUUAGGUUGUUGGUGAGGUAACGGCCCACCAAGCCUUCGAUGGAUAGGGGUUCUGAGAGGAAGGUCCCCCACAUUGGAACUGAGACACGGUCCAAACUCCUACGGGAGGCAGCAGUGAGGAAUAUUGGUCAAUGGGCGCUAGCCUGAACCAGCCAAGUAGCGUGAAGGAUGAAGGCUCUAUGGGUCGUAAACUUCUUUUAUAUAAGAAUAAAGUGCAGUAUGUAUACUGUUUUGUAUGUAUUAUAUGAAUAAGGAUCGGCUAACUCCGUGCCAGCAGCCGCGGUAAUACGGAGGAUCCGAGCGUUAUCCGGAUUUAUUGGGUUUAAAGGGAGCGUAGGUGGACUGGUAAGUCAGUUGUGAAAGUUUGCGGCUCAACCGUAAAAUUGCAGUUGAUACUGUCAGUCUUGAGUACAGUAGAGGUGGGCGGAAUUCGUGGUGUAGCGGUGAAAUGCUUAGAUAUCACGAAGAACUCCGAUU
RNAcentral lists this ribosomal RNA (652 nucleotides) under uncultured Bacteroidales bacterium. RNAcentral's name for it is "bacterial SSU rRNA". It matches the Rfam family "Bacterial small subunit ribosomal RNA", at positions 69 to 714 of the family's 1533-position model. Lineage: Bacteria; Pseudomonadati; Bacteroidota; Bacteroidia; Bacteroidales. The record is from RNAcentral.